Molecule: ribosomal RNA, 199 nt
Filed under: Salmonella enterica subsp. enterica serovar Schwarzengrund
Lineage: Bacteria; Pseudomonadati; Pseudomonadota; Gammaproteobacteria; Enterobacterales; Enterobacteriaceae
Description: partial 16S ribosomal RNA
Rfam family: Bacterial small subunit ribosomal RNA
Source: RNAcentral
AAAUUGAAGAGUUUGAUCAUGGCUCAGAUUGAACGCUGGCGGCAGGCCUAACACAUGCAAGUCGAACGGUAACAGGAAGCAGCUUGCUGCUUUGCUGACGAGUGGCGGACGGGUGAGUAAUGUCUGGGAAACUGCCCGAUGGAGGGGGAUAACUACUGGAAACGGUGGCUAAUACCGCAUAACGUCGCAAGACCAAAGA